Molecule: non-coding RNA, 179 nt
Organism: Notechis scutatus (mainland tiger snake)
Lineage: Eukaryota; Metazoa; Chordata; Lepidosauria; Squamata; Elapidae
Source: RefSeq, a predicted model, not a curated record
AGAACUCAACAAAAAAUUAGGUAUCAGUUCUGUCGAACCAGUGCGAAUCAUUUAAAUCCCACCACUGGCUAUGACCCAAGCCAAAGGUUCAGAUUACAAGAUAAUUUCUAUAAAAAGAGGAACAUUCCUGAGAGUUCUGACAAUGGAACAAACUCUCUUAAAUCUAACAGGCUUUCUUU